CCCCUGGAAGACUAGUGGUUAGGCCUUGACACUCUCAAUGCCACAGCCCGGGUUCGAUUCCCCUGGGGUU
Molecule: non-coding RNA, 70 nt
Organism: Pangasius djambal
Lineage: Eukaryota; Metazoa; Chordata; Actinopteri; Siluriformes; Pangasiidae
Source: the annotation of a GenBank genome assembly